RNAcentral lists this unclassified non-coding RNA (393 nucleotides) under Hevea brasiliensis (rubber tree). The record is from RNAcentral. Lineage: Eukaryota; Viridiplantae; Streptophyta; Magnoliopsida; Malpighiales; Euphorbiaceae.
AUAAGAAAAGUAAAAGCUAUAAGAAGACAACAUAGUGCAGGACAUGCAAUUACAAUAAGCUUAGGUUAGGCACGUUUGAGUAAGGAACCAUGAAUUUUGCAAAAGGGAAAAAAUGGCUCGUACCUGCUCAAUUUUCCGUAAAUGAUACUCCCACCAUCCCAACUUAUGUGAUAGUGUUUGACUGUGCAUGGAGUUUAAGAAAAGAACUUUUGGAACUUGUGGUCUAGAACAUGUCACGGAUUAUUUUGUUUGGAGAACUGGUAAUGUAACAUGUCACAGAUAUAUGUGGCUAUGAAUCAUUUCAUUAAGAGUAAGUGAAAGUUUCAAUUUAAAUUGUUUCUAUAAAUUAUUUCACUAAUGGUAAAAUGUAAAGCUUCAAAAAAUUGUUUCUAA